GCCGAAAUAGCUCAGAUGGUAGAGCGGCUGAUUCGUAAUCAGUAGGUCGGAGGUUCGAUUCCUCUUUUCGGCACCA
Molecule: transfer RNA, 76 nt
Filed under: Alphaproteobacteria bacterium
Lineage: Bacteria; Pseudomonadati; Pseudomonadota; Alphaproteobacteria
Also listed under: 2 other names
Description: tRNA-Thr
Rfam family: tRNA
About the family: Transfer RNA (tRNA) molecules are approximately 80 nucleotides in length. Their secondary structure includes four short double-helical elements and three loops (D, anti-codon, and T loops).
Source: RNAcentral